GGUAAGAUGGCCGAGAAGACGACAGAUUGUAGCUCUGUACAGGUGGGUAAAGCCCCACUCUUAUCA
This 66-nucleotide transfer RNA is filed under the name Sphenomorphus indicus. RNAcentral describes it as "tRNA-Tyr". It matches the Rfam family "tRNA". From Rfam's summary of the family: Transfer RNA (tRNA) molecules are approximately 80 nucleotides in length. Their secondary structure includes four short double-helical elements and three loops (D, anti-codon, and T loops). Further hydrogen bonds mediate the characteristic L-shaped molecular structure. tRNAs have two regions of fundamental functional importance: the anti-codon, which is responsible for specific mRNA codon recognition, and the 3' end, to which the tRNAs corresponding amino acid is attached (by aminoacyl-tRNA synthetases). tRNAs cope with the degeneracy of the genetic code in two manners: having more than one tRNA (with a specific anti-codon) for a particular amino acid; and 'wobble' base-pairing, i.e. permitting non-standard base-pairing at the 3rd anti-codon position. Lineage: Eukaryota; Metazoa; Chordata; Lepidosauria; Squamata; Scincidae. The record is from RNAcentral.